CCUGCUGUGGUGCCAGCAGGCGCGGAAGUAAAAGCGACAUACAGCUCAGUGCGAAGGACACAGUGACCCCCACGCAACCGCCGACAGCUACCGAGCCGGAUGUCUUGCAUCCCAACGCAGCAACCCUUGAAUGAGGUAGAGUUGCUGAUGCAGGAACUGCAACUACGCAUGACGCGAACUGCCGAGGCCAGUCCUCGCCUGUACGCAGCCCUACAGGAGCCGCGUGCCAUCUAUGCGAUACUGGCGGAGUUUUUCGAGUCGCAACUCGAGCAGUCGCGACGGGCGAAAGACGUGGCACUUGAAGCGGCGGAUGUGCGGCGAGUAUGGGCCUUCUGCUUGGAGGCGCUAGCGUUCUCGUGCGCGACGUAUGACACGAACGCCGCCCCCUCGUCGAGUGCACUGUCGCACGCCCAAGCGCCUGCCCAGUCGCUCGACGACUUUGUCCGCGGCGCACCGUCUCUGCCGCUUGAGGCUCUGCAGCGCGGCGCCCCUGUUGUCGAUGCGAAUUCCGUUGCGCGUGCGCCGUUUGCCGCCGCUACGCCGUCAUCGCCGUGCACAGCGAGGAGCGAAGCGCGUCGCACCUCCGUCUUUUCUAUUCUUCGCUCAGGCUUUGCGGGAAUGAUGGACUUGGCGUACGUGGCCGAUCAACGCCUACAGCGCCCCUCGUCAUCGGGAGCAAUCUCGGUGGUGUCGCUGGCCGCCCUUGCCGCUUCUCUCGUCCCGACACUGGAUCGAGUGCAGGCAGUGCGGUUGACAGCUCAGAUCGCGGAUGACGUCGUCGAUAGUCGCAUCACUUCCAGUGACGGGUCAACCGUGCCACCGUGCUCGAGGUCUGCUGUGGCGACACUCUUGGCUGGCGUGUGGCACAUAUGGGGUGUGUUGGACGCCGCACACUCGCCAACGCUCUACUCGCUGGGACAGCGUCUCUUUCAGCAGUUUGCCACCCCCGCGCAUGGCCGGAUGGCGCCUAACGUAUCGCCGGUGUCCUUCGCGGCCUGGUUGCAACGUGCUCUACGGGAAAACAACGGUGCUCUGCAUCAACAGUUGUACGCAGAUGCCGAAGGGAGUACGCCCCCAGCGAAAAAAAGUGCUGGAAAAGUCGAUGCUGCUGCCACACGCGCAACUAAGGACCAUAACACGGCGGCAGUGACGGAGGACGUUGCUGCUGUCUCAGACUUCUGGGCAUGGCUUGCAAGCUAAGCAUGCCGCAGGUGUCUGCGUGUGUCAGCGCACGCAGGUGUACCCGCGACGCCACUGCUCUGCUCAAGUUUGCAUAUCGCGUGUUGGCACCGUUGUUGCAGCGACGUUAGACUGCGUUCUUUAGUCGCGGAGCUGAGCGGAGAUGGCGGUACGCAUGUCGGACAGGUGCCGCAGGGCGCUGUUGCUGAGCCGCACUGGACAAGCUACGCUGUCCCUCCCUUGUCCCGGCCAAUCUCGCGCACGUGUGUCAGCAUGCACGCACCUCGCCUCUUCAGUCGGCCUCUCCAUGUACAGGCCCGGCGUACGCAAGGCGCGGCGCCAGUGC
This 1525-nucleotide unclassified non-coding RNA is filed under the name Leishmania donovani. RNAcentral describes it as "gene:LdHU3.23.0580(CDS-product:hypothetical_prote in_conserved)". Lineage: Eukaryota; Euglenozoa; Kinetoplastea; Trypanosomatida; Trypanosomatidae. The record is from RNAcentral.